AUGUAUGCUCCGAGCCGGCUGCCUACCGCCGAUCAUGGGGACAUUAACGUCAUUCAGAAAAUUGCCAAGUAUACUCCAAUGGUUGGCCAAGAGCGCAAUUUGUUGUUGCCAAAACCACCUCCACAAAUACUACCACCAGACAAGGCGCUUGAUGAUGGUCUCGAGAAAUUCAAGCUCAGCCCCUCGCAGCACAACGCGGUGCUGGACUGCGUUUCAGCAAUGCAUCAAGAUACGUCGUGUUGGGUGCGCCUCAUCUGCGGGCCUCCGGGGACAGGGAAAACCAAGACCAUGGUGGCCCUGUUGUGGUCCAUGAUGAUGAAGAACCACAGGACACUGGCCCUCGCCCCGACCAACACCGCGAUGAUGGAGGUCGCGUCCAGUCUCCUCGCUCUCUUCGAUCGCGAUUCGCCCUUCUCCUGGAGCGACGUGGUGGUGCUUGGCAGCAAGGAUCUUGUCUAUGCCGUGGAUGCAAACCUCAGGGAGAUGUUACUCCAGCGGUGUAUUUCCCGGCUCAAUCAUGUCGAGGACUGGAGCGACCAUUUGAACAACUUGUUACACCUUCUUGAGAAGCCGUGGAGUUUGUAUUGCUCGUACCGUUGGGACGCCAGGAAGGAGUACGAGGAAUGUGAUUGGGAGCUGCAGGGACCAGAGCUCGGGAGGUGGGAUGAGCAAGGAGGGACAGUGUCAUUUACGGAAUUCUUCGUGGACAACUACGAACACUUUGAAGAAUGUCUGCGCCGCUGCCUAAAAGCUUACCGCAACGACCUCCCCCUCCCCGCAAGGUGCGAGCAGAGCUUCCCUUUUAUAGAUGAGCUCCUGCACGCGCUCGAAACUUUGGGGGACCUCCUGCGGGCCGACCCGGAACGGCUGAUGCGAAAGCUCUUCUUCAAGAAGCCGGUGGGGUGGCCGGAGUUUCUGGAAGCAAGAGCCGUGUGCAUCGACAAGCUGAAGCAAUUGCCCGACCACUUUCACGUCCCAACCUCUUAUGACAAAUUCGAAGAGUACAUACUGAACAAUGCUAAGAUCAUACUUUGCACCGCUUGUACCUCGUCCCAGCUGAGCCAGGGCAGGAAACUUGGGGAACUUAAGCCAAUCGACCUUCUUGUUGUUGAUGAGGCGGAGCAGCUGAGGUAG
This 1134-nucleotide ribosomal RNA is filed under the name Triticum aestivum (bread wheat). RNAcentral's name for it is "partial small subunit ribosomal RNA". The record is from RNAcentral. Lineage: Eukaryota; Viridiplantae; Streptophyta; Magnoliopsida; Poales; Poaceae.